AGCUUCUUGGCCUGGCUGGAGAUGGAGCCCUCUUCACUGAACCUCACCGACUUCUGCUUGGGGAGCUUGUCGGCGAUGGCGUCCAUGAUGCCGCUUACCAUGUUCUCCGCCGCGUUCUCUGAGUGCUCCGGCAUCGUCCCCCGCCCUGAAGAAUACAGUUGUUAGACGAGCAAAUCCUGUUCUUUAAGCAUGGAAAAGGUAAAGCAAGGUGCUGCAUAUCCCGAUAAUUUACAGGCAGCAACCAAGAAGAAGAGGGGAAAAGAUACAAGCUACAAAGAAAGAUGAACUCACCGAGCAAAAAUCAGUAGAUUAAUUAAAGUUGCUGAUCUCCUGACGAUGAACCCAAGAGGCAGGAAUUGGCGUGGUAGUCGAUUAGAGAAGACGGGAAAGCUGGGGAAAGUUGGGAGGAAAAGUGCAAUUUCUUCUCAUUUCACUUUUGGUGGAGGAAGAAGAGCAAUUAGUAUAUUGUUGAAUGAAAGGGAUAGGUGGGCCAGUAGUCUUGCUCGUAAUUGGGCUGUGACCCACUGCCUUAUUGGAGCAAUAAGUGUGAUCCAUUUUGUUUGUCCACAUUAGCUUGGAAAUUCCCUGAACUAAAAGAACUUGAAAUACUCUUUGCCUGCUUCAUGCUCACAGUUUUUAUUUGGU
This is a long non-coding RNA of Lolium rigidum, 645 nucleotides long. RefSeq lists it as uncharacterized. The transcript is spliced from 2 exons. The record is from RefSeq and is a predicted model, not a curated record. NCBI's taxonomy places the organism in Eukaryota, Viridiplantae, Streptophyta, Magnoliopsida, Poales, Poaceae.